Molecule: long non-coding RNA, 2457 nt
Organism: Symphalangus syndactylus (siamang)
Lineage: Eukaryota; Metazoa; Chordata; Mammalia; Primates; Hylobatidae
Source: RefSeq, a predicted model, not a curated record
GCAAGAAGGGGUGGGGGUGGGAGAAAGAUGCAUGCAAACUAGGUCAGUACAAUUUUUAAGCAACUUUCCCCAAAGCACCUUGUUGCUUUGACAAGAAGAUAGUCACACAGCUACCUCUACAUGCAGAGACUUUAAAAUAUGCCUUUUUAGCUGGGCAUGUUGACAUCCCCAACAAAAUCUGGAUUAAGUGGAGAGGGAAGAGGAACACAACUUUUUCUUCCAAGAAACGUUGAGCUCCUAAGUGCAGGGACCUAACCUGUGGGGAUAUAGGGAUAUAAAGAGAUGAAUAAGACAAAGUCCUUGACCAUAAUCACCGUCAUUAAUUUUUAAUAUCAAAUUAAUGUAAUUAGGAACAAUCUUCUCUAAGAGGAUUGGCUUAUCGGGUUUGUUUAUCUUCCACAGAAAGUCAAAUCUCAAGUUACUGCACUUUUCUUUGAGAUAAAUAUGAAUGAAAACUCUUGGCUAACCUAGUGAUUAAUACCUCUUUCAAUCACAGGGCAUUACUGAUCAUCUAUUUAGUUAACAUUUUUAUACCAAGAAUGUGGUAGUUGUAUUGCUUAAUAUUUGUCUGCUCUGGCCCCAAUCCACAGCACAGAGUUUAAUAGUGACCUUUUACAAAAGAAGAGGAAUCAAGUCCACUUUUUCAAUGUCCUAUGAUUGAUUCAUCCCCAAUUCUACACCACAACCAUUCUCUCUCUCUACUCUGAUAGGAGGCAUUAAUAUAUGAAGGUUUUUUAAGAUAAAGUAUUAACAGAAAUUACAUAUUUCCUCUGAACAUUUUUCCUUUUUAAUAGAAAAAAAUUAAAAAUUCUUUGUAGCUGGAGCAGGAUUUGAUACUUCACCUUUAAAUGGGAAUAUUGACCUAUGUCAGUAACAUCCAGAACUCAUUUUACUUUGCUUUCAAACAAUAUUUGGGAACAGUAUAGUAUUUUUAAAAGAUAAGCAUCUCAGAAAGUUGUUUAUUAGACUGUCUAACACUGUGGAAACAAGAUGGGUCUGCAGAAAAUUCACAGAGCUCCUCACAGUCACCAAUAUCUUUUACAGCCAAAGGAAGAUUUGCUUUGUGAAAAAAGGUCCAAUUUAUAUUAGAGAAAGUGCUUCUGGCAGGUCUUUCCUAGAAUACCUUCCUUGGGCUUUUGUCAUAAAAAUUCAGUUGAAUUCUGACAUGUUUUGCCUCUACGUGCUCCACCACUGCUUCUUUCUUUCCUCAUUAGUUUUUUUGUUUCGUUUAAUACAGGGUCUUGUCCAGGCAUGGUGGCUCAGGCCUGUAAUGCCAGCACUUUGGGAAGCUGAGGUGGGUGGAUCACCUGAGGUCAGGAGUUCGAGACCAGCCUGGCCAACAUGGCAAACCCUGUCUCUACUAAAAAUACAAAAGUUAGCCGGGUAUGUUGGUGGGCACCUAUAAUCCUAGCUACUCGGGAGGCUGAGGCAGGAGAAUUGCUUGAACCUGAGAGAUGGAGGUUGCAGUGAGCCAAGAUCAUGCCACUGCACUUCACUCUGGGGGACAGAGCAAGACUAUGUUUCAAAAAAAAAAAAAGACAGGGUCUUGCUCUGUCACCCAGGCUGGAUGCAGUGGCGCAAUCAUAGCCCACCUCAAGUUUGAAUUCCUAAGCUCAAGGGAUCCUCCUGCCUUGGCCUCCCAAAGUUCUGGAAAUACAGGCAUAAGCCACUGCACUUGCCCUCUAAUCAGUCUUUUAAAGAGCUAUGAAGUGUUCCUCACUUCUGUGCUCUGUGCAAUGUUAAAUAUACAAACAAAAUAAACUAGGAAUAAAUUGACAUCAGUAUUUAAGAAAAGUGUUACAUGUAUGUGAUGGGAUAUGAGCUAGAAUAAGGAGAGGCAGGGCACUAUAGGCUUUUAAAUUAUUAAAAUUUUGUAUUAUACAGGAAAGAAAGUUAUGAAGAAGGUGGCUUUACUGGGACUCUCAGUUACAAGACACAGAAAUCCAACCUGAACCAGCUUAAGCAAAAAAGGAAUUUAUCUUUCAUGUAACUAACCACAGAAAGGUUAGGGGUAGAGCCAGGCUCGGGGACAAUGGGAUUGAGGAGUUCAAACAUCCUCAAGUCUUUGCCUUUUUCUCCCUCCUCUCUCAUCUUCACGGUCUUUUUUCUAGAUUGGCUGCAUUCCAUUGGGAAGACUGGAACCACAGCCACUUAGAGCUCUGGGCAUUCUUUUGUACAAGUGCUUGAAAACAUUUCCUCCCAGCUGUAAUGAGAACUCCUGUUGCCAGGAACAAGGUUACUGUCUGCUCUAUGGACACCAGAAGAUUUCGGAGUAGAACAGUUGAGGUGGGCCAGUGAGACCAGGACACAGGUGUAAGAUACUUCACCCUCCGUGAGCCUUAACAGAAAUGGACAUUUUCUUGAGCAGGAAUUAUGCAUUAAAUCUUGGGAUGUACAUAGCACAGGGUCUUGCUCCCAGGUACUCAAUAAAUAUUAAUUUACCAACAAGAGAAACAA